GGUAUUCUGUUUCUUUUAGGAAAGGUUGAGGCUUUCAUAGCCUGGGUUUUUCUAGGAUGUAGCUUGGCUCAGACUUACAGGGCUCAGAGUGAGCUGUUGUGAUUCUCAGGAAGCUGACUGGUGUUUUAUAAACUCACAGGCAAUAUUCUUUGAAUCUAUGUUUAUGAUUCAAGUUCUAGCAUGAUAUCUUUAGUCACUGGGUAUUUGUAGGAAUAAUGUUGUAUAAGAUGUAGACAGUAAAUAUAGUUAUUCUCUUUCAGAUUCUCAUGCAUAUUCUCCAUUCAGUAAUAUCAUGUAUGCCUAUGAUGUAAUAUGGAUUAAUUAGAGCAGCUUGGCAAUUGCAUAGAAUUUUGGUAUUAUAAAAACAUGAUAUUUGGCAUAUGAUUGGUUUUGCUUAUUCAUAACUCUGCUACUUAUUAUGCUAGGCAGUUAUUUUGAUUUUCUGAAUUUCUGUAAAAGAGGGAGAUAAUUUGGCAGUUAUCCUUCCCUGGUGGGUGGUUUUAUAUCAAAAUUUAAAUGAGAUAUUUAGUGUUUUAUAAGAUCUAUAAUCUUUUGGCAACAAUUUUUAAACUUAGAUUUUCUCUUUAUUUAACAUGUAAUAUGGGGGAGCUACAAGGACCUAAUAUGGAUAAUUUAGGACUAUUGUGUAACAUAAUGCCAUGUUCAUGUUUGUGUUUACAACUCUUUUGGUGCUAAAUGGAGGUCAAGUCAUGUCACUACAAUGUGAUGAAUUUAUAGUUAUUUGAAUAUUUUGCAUUGAAGGCAAAGGGAAGAAUUUCUAAGAAAAGUUCAUUUGAAUUUACAGUCUUUAAAACUGCUGUUUCCUCAUUUUCCUUUGGUCUGAUGACAGAAUUAGAAAUGUUUUCAGCAAUACUUAAGAAAUUGGAAACUGAGAUCAGAUACACAUUCUCAUUUUAAAAUGUCAUUGAGAAUGAGCUAACAACCUAAAUAGAUUUUAGUGGAAUAAAAUGAUAACUUUAUAAGCAAGUAACAUGUUUAUGUUGUUAUCAAUUGCACUUAAUGGAAACUUUAUUCACACCACUUUGAACAAUUGAUGGUUGAUGUAUAUGAGAACUUUGAAACUUUCCUGCCAAGGACCAGCCUCAGCUUGGAGAAGGGCUCUGAGGAAGGGGUGUUUGGGAGCAGCAAAAGAACAACUAGAAGUCAAAUUGUGGGUACAAGCUGACAGUCUGUGUUCUGAUUUCUUAAGAUCACCAGACAGCUUAGCUCUUGCAAACCAAAGCCCAGUCUUUUAUUUAUAUAUAAUUCUAUUGCCCAUCCAAGAUUCCCCUUUGAUUAUAUCACCAACCAGCAUUUUUUGACCUUAGCCCCUUCACUGCUGGGAAAAGACAUACUUCUUAACAUUGCAAAUUAAUUCAGAGAUCUGACCGCCUUUGUAAGCACAGACAAUAAGCUGGCUGGAUGAGAUCAGGCUCUGAGAUCACUGCUCCCACCAGAUCUGGGCCUAGAUUCUCUCUGUUCCAGGCUGACCUUGAAUCAGGAAUCUGUCUGCCUUUGUAUCUUUCUGACAAGCUCCCUCAUAGUACAGCAGCCUCCGUUCUUUUAGGUCCAUGAAGCCCCUCAUAUAAUUCAUAUUGUGUCCUUGUAUUUUACAUAGUUGAGAAGUUAUAUAAUUUUGAACUCACAUUUUCAGAGUUUUUCCCCACAGCCUUAAGGGCUGUCCUGAAGCUCACAGAGGCCUACCAUUUUACUGAGACAUUAGAUACAUCUUUACCUCCUGGACACGUGCUGCUUUUAAUUAUCAUGGAGUCCUUUACCUUGGCAGGGAGAACAUUCCUUGAUAAUCUUGGCAGGGUAAUAUUUCUAAAAAGAGGAACAUAAAGUAACACACACACACACACACACACACACGUCUUAUCUUGUGCCCAGCAGCUCUCAACACUUGUAGAGGUCCG
This 1916-nucleotide long non-coding RNA is filed under the name Mus musculus (house mouse). RNAcentral describes it as "long non-coding RNA chr1:137252141-137254057". The record is from RNAcentral. Lineage: Eukaryota; Metazoa; Chordata; Mammalia; Rodentia; Muridae.